AUUGAACGCUGGCGGCAGGCUUAACACAUGCAAGUCGAGCGGGGUGAUGGUGCUUGCACUAUCACUUAGCGGCGGACGGGUGAGUAAUGCUUAGGAAUCUGCCUAUUAGUGGGGGACAACAUCUCGAAAGGGAUGCUAAUACCGCAUACGUCCUACGGGAGAAAGCAGGGGAUCACUUGUGACCUUGCGCUAAUAGAUGAGCCUAAGGCGGAAUAGCUAGUUGGUGGGGUAAAGGCCUACCAAGGCGACGAUCUGUAGCGGGUCUGAGAGGAUGAUCCGCCAGACUGGGACUGGGACACGGCCCAGACUCCUACGGGAGGCAGCAGUGGGGAAUAUUGGACAAUGGGGGGAACCCUGAUCCAGCCAUGCCGCGUGUGUGAAGAAGGCCUUAUGGUUGUAAAGCACUUUAAGCGAGGAGGAGGCUCUUUUGGUUAAUACCCAAGAUGAGUGGACGUUACUCGCAGAAUAAGCACCGGCUAACUCUGUGCCAGCCGCCGCCGUAA
RNAcentral lists this ribosomal RNA (503 nucleotides) under uncultured bacterium. Its description in RNAcentral is "partial 16S ribosomal RNA". It matches the Rfam family "Bacterial small subunit ribosomal RNA", at positions 30 to 523 of the family's 1533-position model. The record is from RNAcentral.